AGUACGAUUGAGUGCCGAAUAAUUAUUAACUAAAGAUUUUCUCAACAGUUUUUGCUCUUCAUUUGCUUGUUUCACAUAUCGAAACUGCUGGAACCGGAGAGUAGAAACUACAAAAUACACAUACUCGCGGAUGCGUAAAAAUUUUAAAUGAGAUAUGUUAACAUGCAAUACUGCUUGACAAGCUCAAAAACUCGUCUCCCUGGUAAAUGAAUUCUUGGAUCCCAUUGUUCGAGACAAUGUUUAUGUUGAGUCAGAAGAAACUGAUGAUGGUUAGUAUGUAUAUGCUCGAAGACAUGCUGUGAAUUAAUGCUGUGCUGUUG
Molecule: long non-coding RNA, 320 nt
Filed under: Brassica napus (rape)
Lineage: Eukaryota; Viridiplantae; Streptophyta; Magnoliopsida; Brassicales; Brassicaceae
Description: long non-coding RNA (BNAP_LNC017946)
Source: RNAcentral